CACAGGAUGGAGUUACGAUGAUCUUCUACCAUAUUUUAUUAAAUCGGAAGACAAUGGUAAUAUUGGUAAUCUAACAAGCACUGAGUAUCACGGAGUUGGGGGUCCGUUGAGAGUUGAAAGGUUUCCUUAUGCACCCCCCAUAGCUCAAGACAUUCUUGCAGCUGCCAGAUCUGCUGGUUAUGCAACUCCAAGCGACCUUAACGCAGAUGUUCUCGAAGGAUUUGUACUUACGCAACAUAUGAAUAAAAAUGGUACUCGGGACAGCACAGCUCGAGCUUAUCUUCGUUCGGCAAGAGCCCGAUCAAACCUUCAUAUAAUGUUGAACUCCACAGCUACAA
This is a long non-coding RNA of Agrilus planipennis (emerald ash borer), 338 nucleotides long. RefSeq lists it as uncharacterized. The transcript is spliced from 2 exons. The record is from RefSeq and is a predicted model, not a curated record. NCBI's taxonomy places the organism in Eukaryota, Metazoa, Arthropoda, Insecta, Coleoptera, Buprestidae.